RNAcentral lists this ribosomal RNA (250 nucleotides) under uncultured prokaryote. Its description in RNAcentral is "partial 16S ribosomal RNA". It matches the Rfam family "Bacterial small subunit ribosomal RNA", at positions 524 to 773 of the family's 1533-position model. The record is from RNAcentral.
UACGUAGGGGGCGAGCGUUAUCCGGAUUUAUUGGGUUUAAAGGGUGCGUAGGCUGUGCGUUAAGUCAGGGGCGAAAUGUCCGGGCUCAACCUGGGAGCUGCCCUUGAUACUGGCGCGCUGGAGUGCGGAUGCCGUUGGAGGAAUGAGUGGUGUAGCGGUGAAAUGCAUAGAUAUCACUCAGAACACCGAUUGCGAAGGCAUCUGACGAAUCCGUAACUGACGCUGAGGCACGAAAGCGUGGGGAUAGAAC